This 96-nucleotide non-coding RNA is filed under the name Desulfobacterales bacterium. Its description in RNAcentral is "c-di-GMP sequence". It matches the Rfam family "c-di-GMP-I riboswitch aptamer". From Rfam's summary of the family: GEMM was predicted in a large-scale screen for bacterial structured RNA regulatory elements. Genes associated with GEMM are involved in a diverse array of functions, including chemotaxis regulation, signal transduction, secretion and chitin. The record is from RNAcentral. Lineage: Bacteria; Pseudomonadati; Thermodesulfobacteriota; Desulfobacteria; Desulfobacterales.
ACGUUUGAUAAGCAAACCACCCGAAAUGGUGGGACGCAAAGCCACUGGCCUAAGUCUCAGGUCAGGGUACUGAGAUAUGGUAGCAGGGCUGCCGGG